AAACCAUGAUGAGGGCAGCGUCGAAGCAAAUCUUUGUAUCUUUCCCAAGCCUCGUACAACGAUUUAGAGUUAAGUUGCAUGAAAAAAGUAAUAUCAUUUCUCAUCUU
This 107-nucleotide small nucleolar RNA is filed under the name Theobroma cacao (cacao). Its description in RNAcentral is "Plant small nucleolar RNA R71". It matches the Rfam family "Plant small nucleolar RNA R71". From Rfam's summary of the family: R71 is a member of the C/D box family of snoRNAs containing the C (UGAUGA) and D (CUGA) box motifs. Multiple nearly identical copies of this snoRNA have been identified in Arabidopsis, and it is thought to function as a 2'-O-ribose methylation guide for 18S ribosomal RNA. Lineage: Eukaryota; Viridiplantae; Streptophyta; Magnoliopsida; Malvales; Malvaceae. The record is from Rfam by way of RNAcentral.